RNAcentral lists this ribosomal RNA (44 nucleotides) under Chaetomium globosum. RNAcentral's name for it is "partial 18S ribosomal RNA". Lineage: Eukaryota; Fungi; Ascomycota; Sordariomycetes; Sordariales; Chaetomiaceae. The record is from RNAcentral.
GGAAGUAAAAGUCGUAACAAGGUCUCCGUUGGUGAACCAGCGGA